RNAcentral lists this ribosomal RNA (253 nucleotides) under uncultured bacterium. RNAcentral's name for it is "partial 16S ribosomal RNA". It matches the Rfam family "Bacterial small subunit ribosomal RNA", at positions 524 to 776 of the family's 1533-position model. The record is from RNAcentral.
UACAGAGGAUGCAAGCGUUAUCCGGAAUGAUUGGGCGUAAAGCGUCUGUAGGUGGCUUUUUAAGUCCGCCGUCAAAUCCCAGGGCUCAACUCUGGACAGGCGGUGGAAACUACCAAGCUGGAGUACGGUAGGGGCAGAGGGAAUUUCCGGUGGAGCGGUGAAAUGCGUAGAGAUCGGAAAGAACACCCGUGGCUAAGGCGGUUCUCUAGUACGGUACUGACGCUGAGACGCGAAAGCGUGGGGAGCGAACAGG